RNAcentral lists this long non-coding RNA (240 nucleotides) under Elaeis guineensis (African oil palm). RNAcentral describes it as "long non-coding RNA (EGUI_LNC024270)". Lineage: Eukaryota; Viridiplantae; Streptophyta; Magnoliopsida; Arecales; Arecaceae. The record is from RNAcentral.
ACCAUAUGGUAGAGCUUUGUGUAUGGGGUCUCUCGUCACUCAGGAUCCUUUUAUGGAAGAAAACUACAUGUGCUGUAUUUGAAAUUAGUAUUAUUACUGUUGUUAGAGUUUGGAACAGGAUCACUAUUAAUGAGAGAUUUAUAUUGAUUCUAAGAAUCUAUUAUUUACUUCUCUAUCUCUGUUAUGGGUGAUACAAUAGCAAGAUUUCAGAAAAGAACAUGUGAUGUGUUAGUGAGCCAC